Molecule: ribosomal RNA, 460 nt
Filed under: uncultured bacterium
Lineage: Bacteria
Description: partial 16S ribosomal RNA
Rfam family: Bacterial small subunit ribosomal RNA
Source: RNAcentral
CCUACGGGUGGCAGCAGUGAGGAAUAUUGGUCAAUGGACGAGAGUCUGAACCAGCCAAGUAGCGUGAAGGAUGACUGCCCUAUGGGUUGUAAACCUCUUUUAUAAAGGAAUAAAACGAGGCACGUGUGCCUUUUUGCAUGUACUUUAACAAUAAGAAUAGGCUAACCCCGUUCCAGCAGCCGCGGUAAGACGGAGGAUCCGAGCGUUAUCCGGAUUUAGUGGGUUUAAAGGGAGCGUAGACGGGUUGUUAAGUCAGUUGUGAAAGUUUCGGGCUCAACCGACAAAUGGCAAUUGAUACUGGCAGUCUUGAGUAUAGUUGAGGUGGGCGGAAUUCGUGGUGUAGCGGUGAAAUGCUUAGAUAUCGCGAAGAACACCGAUUGCGAAGGCAGCUUCCUGAACUAAGACUGACGUUGAUGCUCGAAAGUGUGGGUAUCAAACAGGAUUAGAUACCCCUGUAGUC